This 705-nucleotide long non-coding RNA is filed under the name Physcomitrium patens. RNAcentral's name for it is "long non-coding RNA (PPAT_LNC006363)". Lineage: Eukaryota; Viridiplantae; Streptophyta; Bryopsida; Funariales; Funariaceae. The record is from RNAcentral.
ACAGAGAGUAGAAGAAUUUAAUCAAUAUUUAGCCAAUCUUAGUGAGCAUUAUGACAUACCUAAGGUCGGUCCUGGGUAAGGUUGCAAGAUGUCGUGUUCUCAGUCUCGAUUGGAAGUUGGUGUUGGCGUUUAUGCUCAAGGUUGGCAAUCUGUGAACAAUUUCUCACGUAAUUUUGUAUCAUUUUAGUGUACGUUUGGAUUUGGAUUUACACUUUGUAAUGAAAUGAAUAGUCAUACGUAUUGAAAUGGUGCAUUUGGCAUCCUAUGGUUCAGUAACUUUUAAUGAUGACAUUAUUAAUCUAAAUUAUUUUGAGGCUUCUAUAUGUGGAGUGCAGGAGUAUUUUCUGCGUGAGUGUUUGUGCUUUUAGAAGUCUCAUCUAUGUUUCUUGAGUAAUUGAGUUGUUCGACGACCCCAAAGUUUGUGGCCAAGACCGAAUCGUGUUGAUGCUAGUUAACUGAUCAAUGUGUUGUAGCAAAUUAUACUGCUCAGUGUUGUGAUCAAGAGUUUCAGACUGGCGCAAGAAUAUCAUAGUGGUACCGCUGAUGAUGAAUACGGCCAAGGUGGGUGCUGAUUUUUUAUCCUUGGCUGAAAGUACUCGCCUUUACCCCACCGUCACGUAAACCUAACUCCCCAAAAUUGCACGUCGUCUGCACGAAUGCAAUGACACAAAAACCUCAACCCCUGAGAAUGACCCUGAAAAAAAA